AUAAAAUUAACCCGCUAGGCGCAGGCGCUGGCGAUUUUCCGAUUCUCUGCCCUAGAUAUCAUUCACUGGCAAGACGUUGCUUGGCUUCUAUAUGGGAGGUCUUCGUUCGAUGAUGUUGUCGCUCAACGGUCAUCCACUGCGGUGGUUGACUCUAAGACUUUAUCUUUCCACAAGCUUACCAAGAUACAUUAGAAGGUAAUGAUGCCCAACUUUUUGUGAGCAAAUGUUGUAAGAAUAAUGGUAAACCUUUGAUUUUUCUAUCUAAAUCAGAUACUUUUGCGUAAUAUAAAUUUUUAUUUGUGUGGAAA
Long non-coding RNA from Phalaenopsis equestris, 308 nucleotides. RefSeq lists it as uncharacterized. NCBI's taxonomy places the organism in Eukaryota, Viridiplantae, Streptophyta, Magnoliopsida, Asparagales, Orchidaceae. The record is from RefSeq and is a predicted model, not a curated record. The transcript is spliced from 2 exons.